CUGGCGGCGUGCCUAAAACAUGCAAGUCGAGCGGUAAGGCUUUGCACUUAGUGUUUGAUCGAGAUAAUUUAUUAUCACAGUUAACCAAUCGGAACCUUGGCGGGGGAAGUGCGGAAGAGGAAGAUCGAAUUAUAAGUGUAGAGUACACGAGCGGCGACGGGUGAGUAACACGUCGGGGAAAUCUACCCCAAAACUGAGGGAUAAGCACCGGAAACGGUGUCUAAUACCGCAUAUGGUCUUCGGAUUAAAGCUUCGGCGUUUGGGAAGAGCCCGCGCAAGAUUAGCUAGUUGGUGAGGUAAAAGGCUCACCAAGGCGACGAUCUUUAGCUGGUUUGAGAGGAUGAUCAGCCACACUGGAACUGAGACACGGUCCAGACUCCUACGGGAGGCAGCAGUUAGGAAUUUUCCACAAUGGCGCAAGCCUGAUGGAGCAACGCCGCGUGCAGGAUGAAGGUUUUCGGAUUGUAAACUGCUUUUAUAAGUGAAGAAUAUGACGGUAACUUAUGAAUAAGGAUCGGCUAACUCCGUG
This 529-nucleotide ribosomal RNA is filed under the name uncultured bacterium. RNAcentral's name for it is "bacterial SSU rRNA". It matches the Rfam family "Bacterial small subunit ribosomal RNA", at positions 36 to 507 of the family's 1533-position model. The record is from RNAcentral.